This 635-nucleotide ribosomal RNA is filed under the name uncultured bacterium. Its description in RNAcentral is "bacterial SSU rRNA". It matches the Rfam family "Bacterial small subunit ribosomal RNA", at positions 66 to 686 of the family's 1533-position model. The record is from RNAcentral.
GGGGCAGCGGGAAGGUUAGCUUGCUAAUCUUUGCCGGCGACCGGCGCACGGGUGAGUAACACGUAUGCAACCUGUCCGGUACAGGGGGAUAAGCGGCGGAAACGCCGUCUAAUACCGCGUGACAACCCGAGGGGGCAUCCCCUUGGGUUCAAAGGAGAGAUCCGGUACCGGCUGGGCAUGCGGCGCAUUAGCUAGUUGGCGGGGCAACGGCCCACCAAGGCGACGAUGCGUAGGGGUUCUGAGAGGAAGGUCCCCCACACUGGAACUGAGACACGGUCCAGACUCCUACGGGAGGCAGCAGUGAGGAAUAUUGGUCAAUGGGCGCAAGCCUGAACCAGCCAAGUCGCGUGAGGGAAGACGGCCCUACGGGUUGUAAACCUCUUUUGCCGGGGAGCAAGCCUGAGCACGUGUGCCCAGGCGGAGAGUACCCGGAGAAAAAGCAUCGGCUAACUCCGUGCCAGCAGCCGCGGUAAUACGGAGGAUGCGAGCGUUAUCCGGAUUUAUUGGGUUUAAAGGGUGCGCAGGCGGGCUGUUAAGCCGGCGGUAAAAAUUCAGGGCUCAACCCGGUCGAGCCGUCGGAACGGGCAGUCUUGAGUGGGCGAGAAGUAUGCGGAAUGCGUGGUGUAGCGGUGAAA